RNAcentral lists this ribosomal RNA (1164 nucleotides) under uncultured organism. RNAcentral's name for it is "bacterial SSU rRNA". It matches the Rfam family "Bacterial small subunit ribosomal RNA", at positions 32 to 1232 of the family's 1533-position model. The record is from RNAcentral.
AACGCUGGCGGCGUGCCUAAUACAUGCAAGUCGAGCGAUGAGGUCCUUCGGGAGUACAUCAGCGGCGAACGGGUGAGUAACACGUGGGUGACUUGCCCCGAAGAUGGGGAUAACCUCUGGAAACGGGGGCUAAUACCCAAUGUGCUCGGUGAUUCGGUUCAUCGAGUAAAGCUCCGGCGCUUCGGGAGAGGCCUGCGGCCCAUCAGCUAGUUGGUAGGGUAACGGCCUACCAAGGCAGAGACGGGUAGGGGGCGUGAGAGCGCGGACCCCCACACUGGCACUGAGAUACGGGCCAGACUCCUACGGGAGGCAGCAGUAAGGGAUAUUGCGCAAUGGACGAAAGUCAGACGCAGCGACGCCGCGUGGGCGAUGAAGGCCUUCGGGUUGUAAAGCCCUUUUAUGGGGGAAGAGAAAAAGGACGGUACCCCAGGAAUAAGUCCCGGCUAACUACGUGCCAGCAGCCGCGGUAAAACGUAGGGGACAAGCGUUAUCCGGAUUCACUGGGCGUAAAGAGCGUUGAGGCGGUUCCGUAAGUUGGGCGUGAAAGCUCCGGGCUUAACUCGGAGAUGUCGUUCAAUACUGCGGGGCUUGAGGACAGCAGAGGAAGGUGGAAUUCCCGGUGUAGUGGUGAAAUGCGUAGAUAUCGGGAGGAACACCCGUGGCGAAGGCGGCCUUCUGGGCUGUUCCUGACGCUGAGGGCGAAAGCUAGGGGAGCGAACGGGAUUAGAUACCCCGGUAGUCCUAGCUGUAAACGAUGGAUGCUGGGUGUGGGGGGUGUAAAUUCCCUCUGUGCCGAAGCAAACGCGUUAAGCAUCCCGCCUGGGGACUACGGCCGCAAGGCUAAAACUCAAACGAAUUGACGGGGGCCCGCACAAGCAGCGGAGCGUGUGGUUUAAUUCGAUGCUACACGAAGAACCUUACCUGGGUUUGACAUGCACGUGGUAGGGAACCGAAAGGGGACCGACCUUCGGGAGCGUGCACAGGUGCUGCAUGGCUGUCGUCAGCUCGUGCCGUGAGGUGUCGGGUUAAGUCCCGUAACGAGCGCAACCCUUGCCCUUAGUUUACAAGUGUCUAAGGGGACUGCCCGGGACAACUGGGAGGAAGGUGGGGAUGACGUCAAGUCAGCAUGGCCUUUAUAUCCAGGGCUACACACACGCUACAAUG